CCCCAAAACUGCCACCCCUGCAUCAUGAGGGUCCUGUCGCUGCUGCUGCUACUGGCGUUCUGCUGCCUCUGGGCCCGGCUGGUGGCUGUAGGGCUCACCUAGCCUGUUUGGACCUGGACCAAGGACCCCACUUGUGCAGUCUCAUGUCAGAAAGUCAGCCAGACAUGGACUCAUCCAUCGACUGCAGAGCGAGCACCCAUCAUCUCCCAUCCCAAAUCCACCCCUCCACCCUCAGCUCACAACUGGGUGUGGGGAUCUCUGUGCUUCUUCCUUGCUAUUAAAGCCCAUCCGCAAUUAGCUCUGCUGGUUUCUGAGAUGUUCAGUCUCCUGGUGAGCCUUCAUUGGAUCCCCGGCCCCCGUGGGAGGGAAGUGCCAUGGCAGCCAGCUGGUCCUGAGGCCAGCACACGUCCUGCCCUCACAUCAGGCUGCUCACCCAGGUUAUGACGUGUCAGGGGCAUCUCUGGGUUUGUGGAAGAAGCUGUGAAGAAGCAAGCUCCCAGAUGGCCUGGAGAUGCCAGGCAUUGUGACAAGGGACAGCUUGUUGUGUUGAGCAAGUGGCCCAUUGUGGGAUUUAUUAGGAAACAGAAGGUUCUGCCCAAAACAGCGCUGGUGUCCAGGACUGGCCCUGGCAGAGUGAGGUGAGGAGAGGCUGGAGGCAGCUCCGUGUGCCCACCUGCAAUGAGCUGUCCUCGCACCCUGUGCUCUGCACACACCUCACAGUGCUGGUCACUGAGCUGCUGCCAGCAUCGCUGCCAUCUCCACCACUGUCAUCUUCAGUCAUCGCUGUCAUCAUCAUCAUCAUCGUCAUCAUCGCUGUCAUCACCCUCCUCACCGCCUCCAUGUUCAGACUUUGGUUUCUCUCCUGACUCAGGCUUCUCCCCACUCUCCUUUUUCCCCCCAGCCUCUGGUUUUGCCCCCCCCUCUGGUUUCUCCCCCAUCACAGGUUUCACUCCACCCUCUGGCUUUCCCCCAGUCCCCGGCUUUUUCCCACUCUCAGUUUUCCCUCCACUCUCCAAUUUCCCCCCACCCCCCGGUUUCUCCCCACUCCCUGGUUUUACCAUUGCUCCUGUUGUUAUCUUUGGCUUUUCCCCAGCCCCCCCCUUCCCCUCACACUCUGGCUUCUUCCCCACGCUGGGUUUCUUUGGGAUCUCUUGCUUUUCCCUCAUUGUGCUGCCUGCUGGAGGCUUCUCCCUGCUCCCAGCUCCAUUCUCAGCCACAGGUCUCACCGCCGGCCGCUCUCCAUGCAGGUGCUGCUCUGCACUGCCCCGCUCUGCCCCCGGCUGCUGCUGCACAGAUGGGCUCUGGGUGCCAUCCCGCUGCCGGCAACAGGCAUCUGCUGGCACUGCCGCCUGUGGCUUGGUCACAGGGAGGAUGGCUGCUGCUCCGUGCAGCCCUGGGCUGUACCUUCCUGGUGGAGGAAAUGGAGAAAGGUGAAACACCGAUGGCAGCAAGAUCUUAGCAACAUGAAAUGAAGAUAUUACGUAUUAUUCAACCAGGGCACAAACGUGGCAUUGAGAAUAGCUGUGAAGCAAGUGCAUACGCUUUGCUGUUAAGCAAUAGCAAACUAUCACACAGAAACAGCACAACACAGCGCUGACAUUCACUGCCUGCCUUAGAGUCUCCCUCUCUGAAAUGGAAUGGGACCACAGCAUUAGGAAGGAAGGCAUCACAGCCACUGACCGGCUGGCAAAGCAUAAGGCUUCAAGCCACAACUUAUCCAGGACCUAAAGAAAUUCAUCCUUCUAAAGGGGAACAUUUAGGAGACGAUGAAGCCAUUUCUGCAGACUCAUUUUCAUCAGAGCCUCAUUGCAGAGCAGCGGCAGGUCUGGCUGACACUGAGCAGUUACUGCCGGGCAGUUGGAGCUCAAACAUCAAACAGCCCAACUUAGAGUGAACGCUGAGUGAUCUGGAGGAGGAGACGGGCAGAGUUUUAAACACUGCCACGAUUCUUUCAUGGGAAUUUCUCUUCUUGCAAAUGAACUCCCAGGCUGAGAGCCGUGCAGGGGUUGCCUGGCUGGAGCCGCACACAGCCCAGGUGGGGGUGAAGGAAGCAGCUCCCCGGCACUAUGGCUCAGUGCCGGUGCCACCGCAGGCUCCGUCCCCAGCGGAGUUCAGCCUCCACGCAAAGACCCCCCGGCACCAGCCCCAUCCGGGCAGAGCGGGGCUGCAUCCUCCAGCGCUCGGCGAACGGGGAGCCCCGGCCCCAGCCAACAGCACCAGAAAAAGCAGCGUCAGAAGGAAAUAACAGAAAGCAAGAGAAGCUUCUGCAGCUGGAGCGCUCUGAACCGGACUCGCACGACAUUUAACGUUUCGCAGAAGCCAAAGGUUAGGAGCCUUAAGCAGGGCUAGAGCUCGCGAGGGUCGCAGCUCUGGCAGAAAGUGCUGGGAUAUAAAACCAAAGCAGAGCCACCCGCACAGCGCACAGCGCACCUCACCCACCGCGGGGCCGUGCUCACCUGCAGCGGGCGCGGCGUGCAGCGGGACACCGAGGGCCAGCAGCCCCAGCAGGAGCCAAGCACCCCCCCGCAUGGUGCCAGCACCCUGCCCGCACGGCGCCCAGACGGGAUUUAAGCUACAGCAGAGAGGCGGCCCCGGGCACCUCCCACGUCCUGCGUGCCCCGUGGGACACCCGCAGCAGCAGGGCAGGAGGAGACACCGGAACACCGGGCUGCGGCCAGCCCGAUUCUCGGCCCAUAAACCCUUAAUGGGCACUGGUAACAUCAGAGCUCCUCGUUCACCCCCAGGGGCACCUUCCCAGAUUGCAGAGCAAGAUUUCCCCCCCUCCAUUGCCCCGGAGGAGCUCAGCUCCACCUGUGCAGGGUUGAAUGUCAAUGCUGUAGCUUGUUAUGCUUUAAAACCAGCAGGAAUAAAUGUCUCCUGGCAGACA
Coturnix japonica (Japanese quail) is the source of this 2887-nucleotide long non-coding RNA. NCBI's taxonomy places the organism in Eukaryota, Metazoa, Chordata, Aves, Galliformes, Phasianidae. The record is from Ensembl.